CACCGCCGCGGUAAUACGGAGGGUGCAAGCGUUAAUCGGAAUUACUGGGCGUGAAGCGCACGCAGGCGGUUUGUUAAGUCAGAUGUGAAAUCCCCGGGCUCAACCUGGGAACUGCAUUUGAAACUGGCAAGCUAGAGUCUCGUAGAGGGGGGUGGAAUUCCAGGUGUAGCGGUGAAAUGCGUAGAGAUCUGGAGGAAUACCGGUGGCGAAGGCGGCCCCCUGGACAAAGACUGACGCUCAGGUGCGAAAGCGUGGGGAGCAAACAGGAUUAGAUACCCCUGUAGUCCCUGUCUCUUAUACA
RNAcentral lists this ribosomal RNA (301 nucleotides) under uncultured bacterium. Its description in RNAcentral is "partial 16S ribosomal RNA". It matches the Rfam family "Bacterial small subunit ribosomal RNA", at positions 510 to 808 of the family's 1533-position model. The record is from RNAcentral.